RNAcentral lists this non-coding RNA (776 nucleotides) under Dictyla platyoma. Lineage: Eukaryota; Metazoa; Arthropoda; Insecta; Hemiptera; Tingidae. The record is from RNAcentral.
AAAGUAAUUGAUUUUGUUACUAAAACUAAAGUUAAUUAUUACAAAACAUGUAAUGUUUUAUGUGAAUUAGUAGUAUAUUUAAAAUAUACUAUUAUUAAUAAUUUAUUAAGUUUCAGUUUUUAUUAUUAUUUAAUUGUUUAUGCAAUAUAUAGAAAUUAAUUAUAAAUACUAACUAAAUAUAGUGCCAGCAGUUGCGGUUACUCUAAUAGUAUAAUUUUAGUUUUUUUGGUUAGGUAUUAAGUUUUAUUUUUUUAUAAAAAGAUUAUUUUAUUAAGUGAAAUUUUAAAAUAAAAUUAAAUAAAGGUAAAUUAUAUAUUAAAUUAACUUAAAAACUAGGAUUAGAUACCCUAUUAUUUAUUUUUUAAAUUUAAAACUUUAUUAGUAAUAGUUAUUUUCUAGAAAAUAAAUAGAUUUGGCGGUAAUUGUUAAUUGUUUAGAGGAACCUGUUGCGUGAUUGAUAAACCACGAUUAAUUUUACUUUAUUUAUGGUUUAUAUACCGCUAUCAUUGAAUGUUUUAUUAGAAUAUUUUCUAUAAUAGUUUUUUCUCAAAAUGUUAGGUCAAGGUUUAAUAUAAUAAAGUGUUAAUGGGUUACAUUAAUAUUAAUUAUGGUGUUAAUUAAGUAUUAAUUUUUAACUAAAUUGGAUUUAAUUGUAAUUAUAAUUAAAUUAUUAUAAUGAAAUUAUUAUGGUUAUGCACAUAUCGCCCGUCAUUCUCAAAUAUUGGGACAAGUCGUAACAAAGUAGGGUUACUGGAAAGUAAUCCUGGUUAAAAUUA